AUAAUACUCCCUUUGUCCCAAAAUCCUUAUCUUAGAUUUGUCUAAAUACGGAUGUAUCAAGUCACGUUUUAGUAUUAGAUACAUCCGUAUCUAGACUAAUCUAAGACAAGAACUUUGGGAUGGAGGGAGUAGUAU
This is a non-coding RNA of Triticum aestivum (bread wheat), 135 nucleotides long. The record is from Rfam. Lineage: Eukaryota; Viridiplantae; Streptophyta; Magnoliopsida; Poales; Poaceae.